Molecule: ribosomal RNA, 483 nt
Filed under: uncultured bacterium
Lineage: Bacteria
Description: partial 16S ribosomal RNA
Rfam family: Bacterial small subunit ribosomal RNA
Source: RNAcentral
AUUGAACGCUGGCGGCAGGCCUAACACAUGCAAGUCGAGCGGAUGAAGGGAGCUUGCUCCUGGAUUCAGCGGCGGACGGGUGAGUAAUGCCUAGGAAUCUGCCUGGUAGUGGGGGAUAACGUCCGGAAACGGGCGCUAAUACCGCAUACGUCCUGAGGGAGAAAGUGGGGGAUCUUCGGACCUCACGCUAUCAGAUGAGCCUAGGUCGGAUUAGCUAGUUGGUGGGGUAAAGGCCUACCAAGGCGACGAUCCGUAACUGGUCUGAGAGGAUGAUCAGUCAAAUGGGAACUGGGAAACGGCCCAGACCCCCAGGGGGGGCAGCAGGGGGGAAUAUGGGACAAUGGGGGAAAGCCUGAUCCAGCCAGGCCGGGGGUGUGAAGAAGGGUUUCGGAUGGUAAAGCACUUUAAGUUGGGAGGAAGGGCAGUAAGUUAAAACCUGGCUGUUUGGACGUUACCAACAGAAAAAGCACCGGCAAAUUUCGU